Molecule: ribosomal RNA, 914 nt
Filed under: uncultured archaeon
Lineage: Archaea
Description: bacterial SSU rRNA
Rfam family: Archaeal small subunit ribosomal RNA
Source: RNAcentral
UUCCGGUUGAUCCUGCCGGACCUGACUGCUAUCGGAUUGAUACUAAGCCAUGCAAGUCUUUGUAGUAAUACAAGGCAUACGGCUCAGUAACGCGUAGUCAACCUACCCUAUGGAUGGGGAUAAUCUCGGGAAACUGAGCAUAAUACCCAACAGAUCAUUAAUUCUGGAAUGGUUGAUGAUUCAAAUGAUUUUUCGCCAUAGGAUGGGACUGCGGCCUAUCAGCUUGUUGGUGAGGUAAUGGCCCACCAAGGCAAUUACAGGUACGGGCUCUGAGAGGAGAAGCCCGGAGAUGGGUACUGAGACAAGGACCCAGGCCCUAUGGGGCGCAGCAGGCGAGAAAACUUUGCAAUGUGCGAAAGCACGACAAGGUUAAUCCGAGUGAUUUCUGCUAAAGGAAUCUUUUACCAGUUCUAAAAAUACUGGCGAAUAAGGGGUGGGCAAGUUCUGGUGUCAGCCGCCGCGGUAAAACCAGCACCUCAAGUGGUCAGGAGGAUUAUUGGGCCUAAAGCAUCCGUAGCCGGCUCUGUAAGUUUUCGGUUAAAUCUAUAUGCUCAACGUAUAGGCUGCCGAAAAUACUGCACAGCUAGGGAAUGGGAGAGGUAGACGGUACUCGGUAGGAAGGGGUAAAAUCCUUUGAUCUAUCGAUGACCACCUGUGGCGAAGGCGGUCUACCAGAACAUGUUCGACGGUGAGGGAUGAAAGCUGGGGGAGCAAACCGGAUUAGAUACCCGGGUAGUCCCAGCUGUAAACGAUGCAGACUCGAUAAUGCACUGGCACAUAGCCAGUGCAGUGUCGCAGGGAAGCCGUUAAGUCUGCCGCCUGGGAAGUACGUACGCAAGUAUGAAACUUAAAGGAAUUGGCGGGGGAGCACCACAAGGGGUGAAGCCUGCGGUUCAAUUGGAUUCAACGCCGGG